This 506-nucleotide ribosomal RNA is filed under the name uncultured bacterium. RNAcentral's name for it is "partial 16S ribosomal RNA". It matches the Rfam family "Bacterial small subunit ribosomal RNA", at positions 28 to 507 of the family's 1533-position model. The record is from RNAcentral.
GACGAACGCUGGCGGCGUGCUUAACACAUGCAAGUCGAACGGGCCUUGUCCCCUUUUUUUUGGGGGUGGGGUUAGUGGCGAACGGGUGAGUAACACGUGAGUAACCUGCCCCUCACUUCUGGAUAACCGCUUGAAAGGGUGGCUAAUACGGGGUGUUCUGGCCUGCUCGCAUGGGUGGGUUUGGAAAGAUUCGACCGGUUUGGUUGUUUUGGUGGGGGAUGGGCUCGCGGCCUCUCAGCUUGUUGGUGGGGUGAUGGCCUGCCAAGGCUUUGACGGGUAGGCGGCCUGAGAGGGGGGGCGGGCACACUGGGACUGAGACACGGCCCAGACUCCUACGGGAGGCAGCAGUGGGGAAUAUUGCACAAUGGGCGCAAGCCUGAUGCAGCGACGCCGCGUGAGGGAUGGAGGCCUUCGGGUUGGGAACCUCUUUCGCCAGUGAAGAAGGUCCUGCUCUUUGUGGUGGGGUUGACGGUAGCUGGGUUAAUGAAGCGCCGGCUAACUACGUG